AUUAGAGUUUGAUCCUGGCUCAGGAUGAAUCUUAGACGACUGUUUAAUACAUGCAAAUCGUGCACUGUCUAUGUUCUACAUAGAUAACAGGUUUAUGGGUGAGUAAUAUGUAAGAACCAACCUUUAGGCGGGGGAAUACCCCAUAAGCUGUGGAGUAAAAGAAUAUUUUCACCUAAAGACGGGCUUACACCUGAUUAGCUUGAUGGUGAGGUAAUAGCUUACCAUGGCUACAAUCAGUAACUGGUCUGAGAGGAUGUACAGUCACAUUGGGACUGAGAUACGGCCCAGACGACUACGUGUUGGCAGCAGUAAUGAAUCUUCCGCAAUGGGGGAAACCCUGACGGAGCGAGUCGUCGUGAAGGAUGAAGGUUUACGGAUUGUAAACUUCUUUUGCUACAUUUAAAUUUUUAAUUUAUUAGCCACUGGCGUGUAGAGAAUAAGCAUCAACAAAUUUCGUGCCAGCAGCCGCGGUUAUACGGGAGAUGCAAAGAUUAUCUGGAAUUAUUGGGUGUAAAGAGUCUUAAGAUGGUGGAGUGUGUCUAUGGUGAAAUGUCAAAGCUUAACUUUGAAACAGCUGUAGAAACUACUCAACUUGAGUUCGAUAGAGGUAAAGGGAAUUCUCGGUGGAGCGGUGAAAUGCAUAGAUAUCGAGAGGAACACCGAAGGCGUAGGCACUUUACUGGGUCGAAACUGACAUUGUAAGACGAAAGCUAAGGGAGCAAAAGGGAUUAGAGACCCCUGUAGUCUUAGCCGUAAAUGAUGGGUACUGUGUAUUGGUUCUAAAUCAGUACGUAAGCUAACGCUAAGUACCCCACCUGGGGAUUACGUCCGCAAGGAUAAAACUUAAAGAAAUAGGCGGGGGGAUAAACAAGCAGUGGAUAGUGUGGUUUAAUUCGCUGCUACGCGCAGAACCUUACCAGCGCUUGACAUCCCUGUUAUAUCAUUAUGUAGUAGUAAUGGUUUAAAGCAGGAGACAGGUAAUGCAUGGUUGUCGAUGCAGUUCGUGCUGUGAAGUGUUCGGUUAAGUCCGGCAACGAACGAAACCCUCAUACUUAUUUACCGUAUGGUAUAAGUAAACUGCCAGCAUUUUAAGUUGGAGGAAGGCGAGGAUGAAGUCAAAUCAUCAUGUUCCUUAUGCGCUGGGCGACACACGCUAUACAAUGGUCACGUACAAUGAGAUGCAAGCUAGCGAUAGUGAGCCAAUCUGUAGAAUAUGACCUCAGUUUGGAUCGAAGCCUGCAACUCGGCUUCGUGAAAGAGGAAUUGCUAGUAAUCAUCCAAUCAGCCAUGUGGAGGUGAAUCGUCAAUAUCCCUUACACUCACCGCCCGUCACACCGAGAAAAUAGUGUUAGUCCGAAGGCAAGAGACGUUUCUUGUCUAAGUCUAAUACCUUAAUUUUGGUGAAGUCGUAACAAGGUAACCAAU
RNAcentral lists this ribosomal RNA (1425 nucleotides) under uncultured bacterium. RNAcentral's name for it is "bacterial SSU rRNA". It matches the Rfam family "Bacterial small subunit ribosomal RNA". The record is from RNAcentral.